RNAcentral lists this transfer RNA (92 nucleotides) under Planctomycetota bacterium. RNAcentral describes it as "tRNA-Ser". It matches the Rfam family "tRNA". Rfam says of the family: Transfer RNA (tRNA) molecules are approximately 80 nucleotides in length. Their secondary structure includes four short double-helical elements and three loops (D, anti-codon, and T loops). The record is from RNAcentral. Lineage: Bacteria; Pseudomonadati; Planctomycetota.
GGAGAGGUGGCAGAGUGGUCGAAUGCAACGGCUUGCUAAGCCGUCAUACGGGGUAACCUGUAUCGAGGGUUCGAAUCCCUCCCUCUCCGCCA